UGGGGAAUCUUGGACAAUGGGGGCAACCCUGAUCCAGCCAUGCCGCGUGAGUGAUGAAGGCCUUAGGGUCGUAAAGCUCUUUCGCCAGGGAUGAUAAUGACAGUACCUGGUAAAGAAACCCCGGCUAACUCCGUGCCAGCAGCCGCGGUAAUACGGAGGGGGUUAGCGUUGUUCGGAAUUACUGGGCGUAAAGCGCGCGUAGGCGGAGCAGAAAGUUGGGGGUGAAAUCCCGGGGCUCAACCCCGGAACUGCCUCCAAAACUCCUGGUCUAGAGUUCGAGAGAGGUGAGUGGAAUUCCGAGUGUAGAGGUGAAAUUCGUAGAUAUUCGGAGGAACACCAGUGGCGAAGGCGGCUCACUGGCUCGAUACUGACGCUGAGGUGCGAAAGUGUGGGGAGCAAACAGGAUUAGAUACCCCCGUAGUCC
RNAcentral lists this ribosomal RNA (424 nucleotides) under uncultured prokaryote. RNAcentral describes it as "bacterial SSU rRNA". It matches the Rfam family "Bacterial small subunit ribosomal RNA", at positions 355 to 796 of the family's 1533-position model. The record is from RNAcentral.